UGAGUUGUAGCUCAGUGGUAGAGCACUUACCUAACGUGUGAGGCACUGGGUGCAAUUCUCAGCACCACAU
Molecule: transfer RNA, 70 nt
Filed under: Marmota monax (woodchuck)
Lineage: Eukaryota; Metazoa; Chordata; Mammalia; Rodentia; Sciuridae
Rfam family: tRNA
About the family: Transfer RNA (tRNA) molecules are approximately 80 nucleotides in length. Their secondary structure includes four short double-helical elements and three loops (D, anti-codon, and T loops). Further hydrogen bonds mediate the characteristic L-shaped molecular structure. tRNAs have two regions of fundamental functional importance: the anti-codon, which is responsible for specific mRNA codon recognition, and the 3' end, to which the tRNAs corresponding amino acid is attached (by aminoacyl-tRNA synthetases). tRNAs cope with the degeneracy of the genetic code in two manners: having more than one tRNA (with a specific anti-codon) for a particular amino acid; and 'wobble' base-pairing, i.e. permitting non-standard base-pairing at the 3rd anti-codon position.
Source: Rfam by way of RNAcentral